RNAcentral lists this ribosomal RNA (614 nucleotides) under Myriostoma coliforme. RNAcentral describes it as "partial large subunit ribosomal RNA". It matches the Rfam family "Eukaryotic large subunit ribosomal RNA", at positions 210 to 804 of the family's 3401-position model. The record is from RNAcentral. Lineage: Eukaryota; Fungi; Basidiomycota; Agaricomycetes; Geastrales; Geastraceae.
GGGUGAGAAUCCCGUCCAUGACACGGUGACUAGUGCUCUGUGAUACACUCUCAACGAGUCGAGUUGUUUGGGAAUGCAGCUCAAAAUGGGUGGUAAAUUCCAUCUAAAGCUAAAUACAGGCGAAAGACCGAUAGCGAACAAGUACCGUGAGGGAAAGAUGAAAAGCACUUUGGAAAGAGAGUUAAACAGUACGUGAAAUUGUUGAAAGGGAAACGCUUGAAGUCAGUCGCGUCUUCAGAAAUUCAGCUAGUGACACUAGUGUACUUUUCUGUUAGACGGGCCAGCGUCAGUUUCAGCCACCAGAAAAAGGUGAGAGAAAGGUAGCAUCCCCGGAUGUGUUAUAGUCUCUUAUCUUAUAUGGUGGCAGGGACUGAGGAAUGCAGCACGCCCUUGUUGGCCGGGGUUCGCCCACGUAACGUGCUUAGGAUGCUGGCGUAAUGGCUUUAAACGACCCGUCUUGAAACACGGACCAAGGAGUCUAACAUGCAUGCAAGUAUUUGGGUGGCAAACCCAUAUGCGUAAUGAAAGUGAAUCACAGUUGGGACUUGUGUCAUGCAAGGCACCGACGCCCGGUCCAUGAUCCCUCCGUGGUGAUGGAUCCGAGGUAGAGCAUG